CAGUCGCCACGGUAAUACGAAGGGGGCUAGCGUUGUUCGGAAUUACUGGGCGUAAAGCGCGUGUAGGCGGGCGUUUAAGUCAGGGGUGAAAUGCCAAGGCUCAACCUUGGAACUGCCUUUGAUACUGAAUGUCUUGAGUCCGGGAGAGGUGGGUGGAAUUGCGAGUGUAGAGGUGAAAUUCGUAGAUAUUCGCAAGAACACCAGUGGCGAAGGCGGCUCACUGGCCCGGAACUGACGCUGAGACGCGAAAGCGUGGGGAGCAAACAGGAUUAGAUACCCGAGUAGUCCCUGUCUCUUAUAC
RNAcentral lists this ribosomal RNA (301 nucleotides) under uncultured bacterium. Its description in RNAcentral is "partial 16S ribosomal RNA". It matches the Rfam family "Bacterial small subunit ribosomal RNA", at positions 509 to 807 of the family's 1533-position model. The record is from RNAcentral.